UCAUCUCCUUCACCAAGCUGGGAGCCUCCUGAGGGUAAAAACAAUUCAUUUCUGCUAUGAAUUCAUUCCUCAGGAGCCAGCAUAAUAGCUGCCACAUACCAGGUGCUGAUCAGAAACCCACAAAUAUCUGCCAGGCUGGCAACGGACCCUAAAGAGAGGAUCCCUGGAGCCAGAGGCAAGGAAAUCUACAGCACUGUCCCAUCCCUUCUUUCAGCUCAUCCUGAUUGAUGCAACCUCACAGAUUUGGGAUCUCUGCAAAGCCUUCAGUAGGUUCCCCUGAACCUUGGUUAGCAGGACUAAGGAAGAAAUAUGAGUUUGCUUAGGAUCCAUGGUGUGCCAGGAGCACAUGAGCUCCAUAAUAUGGAGAGGGAUGUUUGUCUUGUUCACUCUUGUAUCCCCAGCACUGAGAAUAAUAAUGACAUAAAUAGGUGUUCAACACAUAUCUAUAGAACAAGCACAUGAAUUAUAGAGAGAAAAUGAAUCACGCCUGGGUUCUUCCAUCAUGGCCAUUUCCAAUCCUCUUCUUAUAAGCCAAAGUUCUUUUUCGUAUGAAUGCCUCCAGGGCUUCCCUCUUCAUCCUUCCACCAACACACACAAAGCACUUAAUCCAUGCUUAAUCCUAGUACAGGUCCUUAGUGACACAUACACUAAUCUGCUUUUCGCCACCUAGUGCCAGAUUUGUAAAUUGACUCCUGCUUAGCCUUCCUUUCCAGAGACAUGGAAGGUUACCCCUCUUCACUCUGUGGAGUUAGGGGACCUGGGAAAACAUCUUUCCCUAUCCUCCUCUUUUGAGGGAAAACAAUUAUUAAUGCAUCACAAAAGAAAAGUAUAUAUUCUCACCUCAGAUGUGUUAUCAAAGGAAAUGAUAAGUUAUUUUCCUAGUGUUGAGCUUUAUAUAUAAGGUAGAUUUGGGGACCAGACAAGCUGGUAUGAAUCCCACCGCUGCCCAUGGUAGGUGUGAGAACUGGCAGGUUACUUUUAUAUUCUUAGUUUCAGUUCUUUCCCCCCUAACAUGGAUGAAAAUAAUAGCAAUGCCUCUCAAGGCAAUGUGUAAAACAAAUCCAUGCUAAAUAUUCAUUCGUUUAUUUAUUUCACAAAUAUUUAGCAAGCUCCUUAGAUGUCCCAAGCAUUAUUCCGUUAUAGCCUCUUGGAUACAGCAAUUGACAAGGCAGAUGGCAAAUCUCUGUCCUUAUUUUGCUUAUCAGUUAGUGUUAAAUAAAUAUUAGCCAUCAUUAUUAUUGAUAUGCUAUACUAAACAUGAACACUCUAGAACUUUUUAUCUAGACUAAAUCUUUUCUUCCCCUGUAAUUGAUGUCAGUGAGUCAUUUGUAGUUACUGCACAACUACAGAGUACAGAGCCCUGGCUUGGGUCUAUAUGGAGGAGGAGGGAGGAGGAUAGACUGAAGACAUGGCCUCUGCCUUCAGGAGUUUACAGUGCACACGGAAAGACUAGCAAGGAUGAAAGGACUUUUGAAUUUAAGAAACAUGCAUGAAUUAAACAUACCACUCUUUUUUGCUUGUCCUUAGUUACCUCUGAGUAAUAAGAACAUGAGUGGAUUUUCAUCACUGUCUGUUGUAAUCUUUCCAGAAAAGCCAUUGAACCGUUCUGAAGGGUUCAGGAAAAGAAAACUGAUGACUUUAUCCGAACUCCUUGGGAAAGAAUGGAGUUUAAUAAGUAAAUGGAUGCAUGUUUCUUAAACUGGCAAGAAUCCUCAUCAAGUGUCCUGACAAGGCAACAAGCAGAUGAAUGUCAAUGUUAUGUAUCUGAUACAUUACCCACCCAUGUAACUGUGAUUUUAUAGAUUUUUAGCCUCUGAAGGAGAUUUCAAUUACCCUCUUACUCAAAUCUUUACCUUUACAGAGAAGGAAAUACAUGCAGAGGGGAAAAGUGAUUUCACCCGAGGUUGUGCAGCUAGCGUGUGGACUGCCUGGACCAAAGCCUCAGUGUCCCCAUUGCCAGCACAGUGUUUUUUCUAGAACCUCUUGAAGCCUAAAGCCUCAGUGACCCCAUUCUCAGUCGAGUGUUCUUUCUAGAACCUCUUGAGGCCUCCUUCUGUCUAACUUUGAGUGAAAACCCUUAGAGCUCAAUGGUCUUUUUACCAAAUUGCUUGCUCUGAGCUCAGGCUAGCGGCAUGUUGUGGAGGAAUCUGAGUAGGAGCUUCUUGAUAAAGAGGUCCUGGCAGUGAGAUUACACACAUUUCUAGUUAUGGAAAAAAAAAAGGGGGCUUUGCAGGUGCUUUUCCUCAUGCUGUUCUCUUCUCAAGGGGUUCAGAUAAACCUGCCGGUUUGCUUCUCCCAGACCCCUCAAACUGGUUCCACAGUUGUUUUUCGGACAGACUAGAAUGAACAGUGUAAUCUCGUAUUCUUAGUCCUGAGAGAGAGUUGAGAACAAGCAAGAAAGGGUGGUGUGUUGAAUAUAUCCAUGUUUCUUAAAUUCAAGAGUCCUUUUGGUUCUUGCAAAAGACCUCUGUCACUGUGGAGGAGACAGUACUCCAAGUCCCCCCAGUAUAGACUAAAUUCCGGUCUUCGAUGCCUUUUGCUUCUGAAAGGAUCCAGAUUCGCUUGGGAAAGCUGGAGAGAGUUUAAAAGGAGGUGACACCUAGUGGUCACUGUGACAAACAGCAGCCUACAGCAAAGAAGGCUGGUUGCUAAGGGUAGCAGCUGCAGCCAUUUAUCUCCACUCUGACUAAAUGGCCGGAAGAAUCAUAGAAUGUUUAUAUUGGGAGCAACCUCCAGAGAUUUUCUGUCAAGACAUCUGCCUCCAGCUAGCACGAAUAAUAUGUCUUACGCUUAUAGUGUUGUAUAAAACACUUUUACAAAUAUUAUCACGUUUAAUUCUCACAUCAGCCCUGUGAAUUUUGUAACAUCAUUAUCUCUUUUUUAAAGAUGAGGAGAUGAUCAGUCAUAAUUUAGGCUUCUUGAGCAAAAUCACUCAGCUAGUGAGCCAUGAAGUAGGAGCUAGGAGCCAGGCCCUCAGCCCUCACCUUCCCACUUGCGAUCAACUGUUUACUGACUCUAGGAAAAGACAUGGAAAUGUUGAGACUUAAAAGAGAUUGGUUUGUCACCAGGCUUGACCCCAACCCUUGUACAAAGAUUGGCUUAGUGUUUGCAGCCAAUUUUACAUGAAUAUUUUGAGUCAGGAGAGAGUUUCUUCCACCUGCAAAUUCAUCUCUAAAUUCCAUCUCUGUAAAUGAGAAUAACAAACCUUCUCGGUGGGAAGAAAUGAAGUCGGCUUGAUAUGGACUGGCUGCAGGGAGGAGGGGCUUGCUGGGUCCCUGUGGCAGUGAACGAUGGGGUCAUCCAGGAAUACGGAAGAGGCUGCUGGUUGUGUCAGAAGAGUCCUUGUAAGAGGAAAUUAAGCCGGAUAUAACCCUGAUAUGAAAUCGCUGGGCACAUCUCAGGACCCUGGCUUAAAUAUUCAAUAGUCUUCAGGGAGAAAAUGAAUUAAUGAGUAGGGUCAUCUGACAGUAGAAUUUUUUAAAAAGUGUUUGAAAAGUAAAAAUGUGUUCUACCUUCUACCUCAUCCACUCACUCAGCCACUCCCUCUCUACAGAGCCUUUAAUUUCUUACAGAAUUUCUCAGGUAUUAUUGCCUCACCUACUCCUACCCUAACCCAAGCUGCCUGUCAUCCCUCCCUGCUACAUCUCUUGGUACUUGGACAUUCAAGUACGGCAGCCUUUAGCCGCUUGCACAAUCACAGGACAGCCUCCGAAAGAGAAGCAAUCUUCUGUGGUUUGGUUGUUUUAGAAAGAAGGCAUUGUUGAUGGAGGUCUUGACUUGUGGGCUGACAUAGCAAACGGAGGAUAGGUUUGCCUUUUCUGGAUGUUACUUGUUUAAAAAAUAUAUUUAUAAGAGAAAGCCCUCUCUAUGUUCCUAAGGGAUAAGGCUGGACAGGAAGUUUUGAGAGAUUCAAGCCAGAUGGGGGUGCAAACCUCUCAGGACCAACACAUCAUCUUUUCUGAGCUCUCUGCUGUGGAUGUGCUGAGGUCCUCCACAUGAAGGUCAGGAAGGGAUAUUUCUCCUUUCAGCAAGAGGCUGCUGGUUGUGCCAGAUGAGUCCUUAGGAGGAAAUCAAGCCAGAUGUAACCUCCGCAAGGUAUUUUCUCUUAUCAUUCCCUAACAAGAAAAAAGAAAUCCAAGAGACAGAACUAGACUGUAUGGUAGUUUCUGUCAGUAUUGAGGUUACGAGGUACACCAACUACAAUAUGCAGUAUAUUCUCAACCUCAUUUUCCUAUGCCCCAGCCUGCUUAUAACACCAUGGGAGCCGGUGGACAACCCAACCACUGUGACGCCCAACCCUAACCCACAGCCUAGGUGCAAAGGCUUACGUAGGAUGCCUAGUGCCUUUCUCAUGGGGGAAUUUCAAUCAAUUCCCUGCACUUCCUAAUUCCCAGUUACUUCCUUUUCUUCUUAGAGUUCAGGAAGUGUAAGUCUCCACGGGCACAAGUCUCCACUGUCUAAGCAGACAGACUGAUGUGAGAGAUCGAAUGGGUUAAUGGAAGGCCAACAUGUAUCUUAAUAUCUUUAUUUGUGCUGGCCUUACCUGUUCAUUAGUCUGAAGUACCCCAGAGUAAUUACAGAGUCCCCUCAUCUGCGAAAUCUCUCUAUUGCACUUAGGCUAGAAGUGUUCAGAGCUGGUUCACAGACAGCGAUGUUGGUAGGCUGACUAGUCCCUUAGAUUUUGAGACUCCCAGCUCAGGUGUCUGAUGCUUUACUAAUAAUAACAUCAAGGGAACCUCCAAGGGUACUGACAAUAAUAAUAAUGUCACAUACUCAUUCAGCUGAAGACUUUUUGAAAGAAUUUACCCUGACAUCAUUCUAGGUACUUGGGAUUCAUCAGUGAACAAAAAGGUUAACAUUUAGCUCACAAAAGCUUUUGCCUAAACUUACCUUAUUGAAGUCUUGCAAGAAUCCUAAGAGUGCUGAGGUCUAAACUUUCUUUUACAGAAGGAUAAACUUAUUUGUCCUGCUCCUCAUAUCAUAAAGCACUCCUCCCCAUCUCCAGGUCAAACUUCUGACAAACCUAAUCAUAAUGUUUUUCUUGAUUUUCUCUGCCAACUAUUUAUGUUUACACUUUGAGUUUUUUUCUACUGUUGGCAGCUUGGUGUCAUGGAAAGAAAAAAGAAUCUCGAAUGAACCUGAGCUCAACUUCAUUCUCCCCCACUCAUUAGACAGUAAACUUUAGUCAAGUCUCUUUAUUCCAAUUUUCUCAUAAGUAAAAUGUUAUAAUAAGGGUAAAAUAAGAACUCUGUGAGACCACACUUAGGGAGAUGCUGUGUUACUGGUUUUGUGUGUUACACAGAUGUGACAUAGAGAUCCCAUGAGCUUAGCAGCAAAAUCUAUCCAGUGGAAUUCUUUCUGGGGUACAAACAUAUAAGAAUAAUACAUUCUAAGCUCAGUUAUUGAAUAAAAUAUCAUAUUAGUCUGUUCUCA
Molecule: non-coding RNA, 5433 nt
Organism: Macaca mulatta (Rhesus monkey)
Lineage: Eukaryota; Metazoa; Chordata; Mammalia; Primates; Cercopithecidae
Source: RefSeq, a predicted model, not a curated record